UACGAAGGGGGCGAGCGUUGUUCGGAAUUACUGGGCGUAAAGGGCGCGUAGGCGGUCCUUCAAGUCAGGCGUGAAAGCCCCGGGCUCAACCUGGGAACCGCGCUUGAGACUGGCGGACUCGAGUUCGGGAGAGGAUGGUGGGAUUCCCAGUGUAGAGGUGAAAUUCGUAGAUAUUGGGAAGAACACCGAUGGCGAAGGCAGCCAUCUGGACCGACACUGACGCUGAGGCGCGAAAGCGUGGGGAGCAAACAGG
Molecule: ribosomal RNA, 253 nt
Filed under: uncultured bacterium
Lineage: Bacteria
Description: partial 16S ribosomal RNA
Rfam family: Bacterial small subunit ribosomal RNA
Source: RNAcentral